Molecule: ribosomal RNA, 253 nt
Filed under: uncultured bacterium
Lineage: Bacteria
Description: partial 16S ribosomal RNA
Rfam family: Bacterial small subunit ribosomal RNA
Source: RNAcentral
UACGUAGGGUGCGAGCGUUGUCCGGAUUUACUGGGCGUAAAGAGCUCGUAGGUGGUUUGUCGCGUUGUUCGUGAAAACUCACAGCUCAACUGUGGGCGUGCGGGCGAUACGGGCAGACUGGAGUACUGCAGGGGAGACUGGAAUUCCUGGUGUAGCGGUGGAAUGCGCAGAUAUCAGGAGGAACACCGGUGGCGAAGGCGGGUCUCUGGGCAGUAACUGACGCUGAGGAGCGAAAGCGUGGGGAGCGAACAGG